This 302-nucleotide ribosomal RNA is filed under the name Escherichia coli. RNAcentral describes it as "bacterial SSU rRNA". It matches the Rfam family "Bacterial small subunit ribosomal RNA", at positions 164 to 468 of the family's 1533-position model. The record is from RNAcentral. Lineage: Bacteria; Pseudomonadati; Pseudomonadota; Gammaproteobacteria; Enterobacterales; Enterobacteriaceae.
UAAUACCGCAUAACGUCGCAAGACCAAAGAGGGGGACCUUAGGGCCUCUUGCCAUCGGAUGUGCCCAGAUGGGAUUAGCUAGUAGGUGGGGUAAAGGCUCACCUAGGCGACGAUCCCUAGCUGGUCUGAGAGGAUGACCAGCCACACUGGAACUGAGACACGGUCCAGACUCCUACGGGAGGCAGCAGUGGGGAAUAUUGCACAAUGGGCGCAAGCCUGAUGCAGCCAUGCCGCGUGUAUGAAGAAGGCCUUCGGGUUGUAAAGUACUUUCAGCGGGGAGGAAGGGAGUAAAGUUAAUACCU